Echinops telfairi (small Madagascar hedgehog) is the source of this 2299-nucleotide long non-coding RNA. RefSeq lists it as uncharacterized. The record is from RefSeq and is a predicted model, not a curated record. NCBI's taxonomy places the organism in Eukaryota, Metazoa, Chordata, Mammalia, Afrosoricida, Tenrecidae. The transcript has 2 exons.
GCACAGUGGCGGGUGCAGCCCAGGUUCACACUGAGAAAUGCAGGCUGCACAUGACCUGGCAGCAGCCAAUUCCUCGCCAGAUCCAUGAAGGGGCGUGUUCUCCCCGACAAAAAGGGUAGCCCCGCCUCUACCAGGAGGGAACCCCAGGGAACAGGAACCAAUGAGGCAAUGCUGGGUAGAUGAUGGGGAGGGGGGACACCUGCCCAGGAAAGUGGGUGAUGGUGGUGGUGGAGGUGCCCACAGGGAAGCUCUGUGUACAACAGGCCAAAUGCAGGAGAAAAGUGCUCUUGCCCCCUGCCUGCCCCACCUUGCCGCAGGGUGCCUGGGCCGGCUGACUCAAAACUGUCUGAAGUGCACCCAAGGGCCUUUGCUCACUGAGACAAUUCGUGUUGUGAAAUAAUGACGGGGUAGUCAGAGGGGGCUUCAAAACAUUCGUGGGAAGAAAAAAGAAAGAAUUAAAAGAGGGUGGCACUUCCCCUAUGAACUCUUUUUUGGUUUUCCCCUAUGUUUGGAAAUGAACUUGUCCGUCCCUAGACUCCAAGUCCACCUCCGUGUUUUUUUCAGCCCUCCAACCAAUAUUUAGAUCCAAGGGGUACGGAGCCUGGAGGGUUCUUAAGGCCGAGGGCCUUCACCCUCUUUUAAACUUCACUUCUUUUGUGUUUUUAAAAGCAACGCCUCCACAGAGGGACUCGGUGCUAAUGCCCCAUGAAACCCCCAUCCAUGCGAUGCUCUGGUUUCCCCGCUCACCCUUCUUCCCACCCUCUGUAAUUCCCAUUACCUUUGGAAGCCUGUCUUCCUCCCACCCAGGCCCCCACCCAUGUGCCCAGAUAGAAAAUCCAGAAACGACCUGUAGUGAAAGGGGACGGUCCUCCUAGCUCUGAGAGGUGGAGUCUGUCCGUAGAUUGCACUGCAUGACCCAGAAUAAAGAAUGCGGCAGGGUCCCUUCCAUUCAUGGGGAGAGGUUCUCCGGCAGGAGUCUGGUCUGUCACACAAGUCCUUGUGGUGGUUGUUGACAGAGGCUCUGGGGCCAGUUCUGAAGCAGAGCAACUCAGUGUAGAACCAGGCCCAAACACUGCCCGGUCCUGGGCCUUCCUCACACUCUCUGCCCCAUCUUUGAGCCCAGGGUUGUAGCCACCGUGUCCAUCCAUCUCCUGGAGCACCUUCCUCCCUCUCUGCCCCUCCACUUGACCAAGCCGGAUGUCCUUCUCCCGGGACUGGUGCCUCCUGACAAGGUGCCCAAAGCACACGAGCUCAAGCCUCACCCUCCUCGCUGCCAAGAACCCUUCUGGCAGACUUCUCUGUUCUGCUGCCAGUCCGUGGUUAGUGCAAUAUUCUCCAAUGACGAAAGGCCCCUGAUGCUGCCAUGCCGCCGCCUGCCUUCCUCGCCGCCGGCUUUCACAUGCAAAGACCGACCGUGGUUUCUGUCACGGGCCCCUUCGUUCCCCAACGUGGCCCCUGUGCUCUUUAACUCAACGGUUCGUUCUUAUGCCACCGAUGCUGCCACUCCAAGGUGUCCUUGGAUCGCCGGGCAACUGCAUCCAGGACGUGGACUGUAGAUCCAAGGAGAGUGAGGUCCCCCGAGACGUCACGGUGUCUCUGUCUGUCAUGAUGCCGCGUGGGGAAGACCUUGGUUUUCUUGAUCUCCGUGGGCCGUCACACGGAAGCAGUCCUGCCGGAUCUUCAUCAGGCCAGCAAGGGGGCGACACACCCCAGGUGGACGGAUGCGCUCAGUGUCACUGACUGAAUUGUAUGGGCAAAAGGGGGCUGAAGUGCACGUGGGAUGGAGAAUCAGCCACAGUUCAAAGGUACGUUAAAGUCUUGACUCGCUCCCUGGCCGGAGCAUUCGGGGACCAUCAAGGCAGGCUGGCCUCGGGCCUGCUUCCCAGCGGGGUGGUGUGAAAAGCCGUCUUGGAGAAGUACAGUUUGGAGGCUAGCUCUUUUCCCCACACCCAAGAGGGAUUCUGACCCCAGCCAUCCGGCCCUCACCCCACAGUGGGAGAGUUCCGGUGUGGCUGAUGGUGGUGGCUCACUCGAUGGACCUGUUUAAUGUCACCAAACUCUACUCCUGACAAAGACUGAAAGGGGUGGCGGGAGUGGGGGGGGGCAUUCCAUUACCAAUGUCUUUAUCAACAACAACAAAUUGUAAGGACCCCACUCAACCGAGAUGCUGCCCCUGGGAGAAGCUGAGAGCAAACCGUCCCUUCCCACACUCGUGGGUGCCACACUUGUAACCACAACUCAACGCUCCCCUCCCUUUCAUUAAAAAAAAUAAAAUUCAUUAUUUUCUUUCUUGUUUUAA